Molecule: long non-coding RNA, 457 nt
Organism: Leguminivora glycinivorella
Lineage: Eukaryota; Metazoa; Arthropoda; Insecta; Lepidoptera; Tortricidae
Exons: 3
Source: RefSeq, a predicted model, not a curated record
CACAGAUCUAACAACUUACAAGUUCAAUGGAGUAAGUGAUCGAAUUUUUGAAAAACAUGGGAGUUGGAGAACUUAAUACGAAAAUUCACCAACCCUGAUGGAUUUUGCACAGACCUAAUAGUUAUAGAAACUUCAGAAAAGGAAAACUUGCCCUCAGAAAAGGAAAAUGUGCCAGAAAAUGUGCCAUCUGCAAUUGCUGAUAAGAAAACCAGAGCCCAGUUAUAAUUCCAGGAUUUUGGAAAAGCUCUUAAGAUUCAUUGGACUCUGCAUCACUGCUGGCAUUCAAUUUGAAACAGAAGGCAAUUUUGAAGAUGAUUUGCAAUGGCUAGAAAAUGCCUCGGAUCCUAGUCGAAGAAAAAUAGGACCAAAGUAUAAAAAGAAGGACGCAGUUUUUAUAUGACGUUGCUGGUCAACAAACUAUAGAAAAUUACUUUUGAAAAUAUUCUGCUCUCAAAAA